AUUCUGGUCUAGUGCUACUUCCACUGCUGCUGGACUUUUGAGCUUUCCACCGGAUCAAAGACCUCUUGGCUCUGCACCUUUUAAAUUUCCUCCCUCCGUUGAAAAACCGAUCCACAAAGGCUCAGCUCUGUAUUUCCAUCGUGUGUAACACGAUGAAUUUUGGAAGCUGCCUCGCACCAAGUGAGACUGCUGGCCCAUCUAGCUCAAUGUGUUGUCUACACUGGACUGGCAGUGACUCUCCAGGCAGGACUAGUUUUGUCCUCCUCCUCCUUCCUGCUGAGCUCUAAAAGGGUAACUUUGAGACGAAGGUGGAGGAAGGCUGACGGGCAGAGCCAACCCCUUGGACUGGUUGUAAGGAAGAAAGCAGGCAGAUUCAUCCACAGAAAAAAAGGAACCUCCCUUCUCCUCAGCUCAUCCUGUUAGAAAGCCAUCAGUUCUACCAGCUGCGCUAACUGAAAGCAUAAAACAGAAGAUGGAGAGGGCUUGCAAGGAAUGCUGGGAAAGAAUCCUGAGGUACUGCUGCAUAACUUCAUCAACACUGAUUUUCCAUCUUAAAAAAGAAGAAUAAACUCCUGCCUGUAAAGCAUAAUACGAGGGGGGGGGAUGUUUGGGGGGGCGAUUUACAGAAGAAUCAGGCGCAUUCAAACAUGCCUUUACCUUGGAAUGUUUCCUUCUUGGUCAGACACGAUGGAACGCGGAACUCUAUUUUCUGCAGAAAUAGAAGGGAUCUCAAUCCCCUGUGAGGUAGCAAAGAUUUUGAAGUUCAGAUCCACAGUACUGGGGCGUGGGCGGAUCUCCCAGUUUGGUCUCACAUACUCAUAGAGGCCCUGAGUAACAAAUGAAUAAAUGAAUACAUAAAUUCAGAAACCAAAUCCACAGAUGGCUAGUUUUGUAUCACUCUCUCCCAACAAACCAGGAUCAGAUCAGAUCACAGUGACCCCUCUGCCCCAGCAUUAAGCCUGGCCCAGCCUCACUAACCUCUUUGCCUCCAUUCCGACCAUAGCCACUUUCUUUAUAACCCCCAAAGGCCGAUGCAGCGUCUAACAUGUUGUGGCCAUUGAUCCAGACAGUCCCAACCUGCAAACUGAACAGAGGAGAGGUUCAGACAAGGCCAGCCCUAUUAUUAGGCACAGGUUAGAUGGCCCCACCUCAGGCUACUGAUUUUGGGUGCCAUAAAAGGGCAGAAAAUUGUUAGCUAUUCAAUUGAUAAUCAUCAAUGUAUUUUUUGCUUCCAGUGAUGGAGAGAGAGGCCCUUGUGGGAUUUUAUGUUUCAGGGAUCAAAAUAACUUGAUCACGGUUUGGUACCCUCCAGGGUUGUUUUUUUUUUUUUACUACAACUCCCAUCAGCCCCAGCCAGCAUGGCAUCUCCCAGGUGAUUUGCAAACUUCUCUAAUAGAGGUGGGGAAGCUGUGGCCCUCUAGAUGUUGUUGGGCUUCAGUUCCCAUCAUCCCUGACCACUGGCCACUGUGGCUUGGGCUGAUGGGAGUCCAACGACAUCUGGAGGGUCACAGCUUAUUCAGCCCUGUUCAAUAUCUAUGCAGCUGGUAGCCAGCAGCAGUGAAAUAUUAAGAACAUAAGAACAUAAGAAGAGCCUGCUGGAUCAGGCCAGUGGCCCAUCUAGUCCAGCAUCCUGUUCUCACAGUGGCCAACCAGGUGCCUGGGGGAAGCCCGCAAGCAGGACCCGAGCGCAAGAACACUCUCCCCUCCUGAGGCUUCCGGCAACUGGUUUUCAGAAGCAUACCAGACUAAGAUGCAUCCAAACUCAGAGGAAGGCAAUGGUAAACCACUUCUGAAUACCUCUUUACCAUGAAAACCAUAUGAACAGAGUAUCCAAAAUGCAGUUCCAUAAAGGAAGCCACAGACCCGAACCCACAAGAUCCGAACAGGGUGGUUCACAACAGACGCUCCUGGAGGUCACUGAUUCACAGGGUCGCCCUAAGGCAAGAAUGGCCCCCUCCCUACUGUCCUUUCGUCAGCAGGUAAAGACCUUUUUAUUCCGACAGGCCUUUGGAAUAGAAGAUGUUUAAGGAUAGCGUUUAAGAGGUGUGCGGUAUUGUUUUACUGCCUUAAUUGCACUAUCUUUACACUGUUUUAACCAUUUUAAGUGUAUGUUUAAAUGUUUUAAUGUCGUAUAUAGUUUAAUUCAAUUUUAAAUGCAGGUUUUUGUAUGUU
Molecule: long non-coding RNA, 2172 nt
Organism: Rhineura floridana
Lineage: Eukaryota; Metazoa; Chordata; Lepidosauria; Squamata; Rhineuridae
Exons: 2
Source: RefSeq, a predicted model, not a curated record